Macaca mulatta (Rhesus monkey) is the source of this 3736-nucleotide long non-coding RNA. Lineage: Eukaryota; Metazoa; Chordata; Mammalia; Primates; Cercopithecidae. The record is from Ensembl.
GAGAUGGAUUUGGUGACACUUAUGCUAAGUGGAAUAAGCCAGUCACAGAAGGACAAACACUUCACGAGAUGGCUUCGGUCUCGCUGAGGUCAAGAGGAACAAUUCUGUGUUUGUGGAGAAGUCAAUGACAGACAUGGAUUAAAGGUAUUUGUUUGCAUCUACUUACCUUGGUUGGCAGCAGAUUACGACCAACUGACUGCUAGACAGGUGUGGAGCCAAGGGGCAAGGAUGCCCGUUGACAUGGUGAUCAUUCACCUGAUUGGAAGUGAGGUGCCGAAGUGUGUCUGCGUUCUAGUGGAGAAACCACUCCUGGAGAACUGGAGAUGGAUGGGUUUUGGGGCAGAGCAGAUCUGGUAUUGCAAGCUGUGAUUGUUUCCUACUAGCUCUGUGAGAUUGGGGAAAUGACCUCUGAGUUUCUAUUCCCUUGUCCUCAGAAAAAUGAGAAUUAUUCAUGUGAAUAAAGACAAAUGCAGAUAUGAGUGACUGGCAUAACUAAGGUGCACAGGAAGGCAGCCUGCACUUCCAGUAUGCAUUUCAUGCCAUGUCUUUACCUCCUGUGGCAUACUUGAGUCUGAGAUUUCUUUGAGCCUAGAAUUUGAGUGCCGAUUGGAACUUGAAUUCUUCUGUUCAGACUCAGGUCCUGGAGGGAGGACAUGUGAAAUGUGCUUUAAACCCUGUUGAAUUUCUAGCAACUUGAAUUUGAAUGGGUCCUCUGAGUUUAAAAAAUAUUCUACCAUACUUUGUUUCUGCCUCCCCAAAAGAAGCGUUUAGGUUUUUAUCCAAUGCUUUAAGGCUCUCCGAGGACAACAUCAUGGAGGAGGAAGAACACUGGCUUUGAAUCCUGGCUCUGUCACUUUCUUACGCUGUGGCCGUGGCUGACACCUUUUUUGAGUGUGUUUUGUCACCUGCAAAAUGGGCAAAAGCAGGGCAGGUUUCAGGUUUUGUGGGGCUUGAAGCUUAUACAAUUUGGGGACCUCUUUAAGAGAAAGAACACAAAAUUAUGAAUAUAAACUUAGGUACAAAACUUACCUUUAGAAUAAGAAAAUAAAUCAACAUAAAUUAUAAAUUUAGAAAAUGCCACAAAUACUAUAUAAUUUAGAAAAAUAGUUUACUUACAUUAUUUAACUACCUGACAGAUCUCUACAAUGCUUUCCCUCCUUACCUCUUUUGGCUGAUUACUCUCUGAUUAUCUUUUCAUAGGACCAUAAUUUUGUAAUAUCCUUGUCUAUAGAGAGUAUAGAAGGAUACUCUAUUCUUCUUGCAUGCUCAUCAAAGUUUGUAUUAUUGUGAGGUUUUUUUUUAAGCUUUAUUAAUUAUUGUAUAAUUUUUUUUUUUUUUGAGACUGAGUUUCACUUUGUCGCCCAGACAGGAGUGCAGUGGUGCAAUCUUAGCUCACUGUAACCUCCACCUCCCAGGUUCAAGCGAUUCUCAUGUCUCAGCCUCCCGAGUUGCUGGGAUUACAGGCCCGCCACCAUGCCCAGCUAAUUUUUGUGUCUUUAGUAGAGAUGGGGUUUCCCCAUGUUGGUCAGGCUGGUCUCAAACUCCUUACCUCAAGUGAUCUGCCUGCCUCGGACUCCCAAAGUGCUGGGAUUACAGGCAUGAGCCACCGCACCUGCUGUAAAUUUUUAGAAUUGUCUAUUUUGGAAAAUGUUCUAUCGUUUUAUAUAUGUAGUAAGACAUGAAGUAUUCUUGUAUAGUACUUGUAUUAAACACUCUCUGAAAUGACAGUAUUCUUCAGUGAGCUUGUUAUGAGUGUCCUAUAUUGUCAUUGUCAAAGUGUCAAUUAGCAGAAAAUGUUCUAAUGCAUUCUUGUGAUUCCCUCCUCCUCAUUAAUUGGAUUAUCAGAUAAUCCAGAAGCCUGUCUAUUACUUCUGUUUGGAAUUUAUCUCAUUCUUUGAGAUAAAUUAACUAUAUUUGUCUAUGAUCUGAAUUUUGCUUUUGUUAUAAUUGUAUCUCAAUGUCAGAAUAAUUUCUGUUGAUUUCACAGCUCAUUUAUUUUAUUAAUUUAUUUGAAUAUUCUCCCAGUCCCUUAAUAAAUCAGUAAUCUGCAUUGAUCCUACUACCUAAGGGAGUUGUUGGAGUGAACAGGCUUUGUAAAUGUCAAAGGUUAUGUCUUCCUAAUUGAUACUAUUCUCUCCUAUGCCCCUCUCCUGCCACUCAGCACACCCCAAGACUCUGCAGAGUGUGUCUCCCAUUGUAAGUAUACAUGGAAGGAUCUAUGAGUUGAGUUCUUGGUUCCCUUGCUAAAAGCCAGGAGGAAAGAAAAGGAAGGAAGCAGAGUAAUAAUUCUUUUUGGUUAUUGUACGUUUACAUCAUGUUUCACUCUAACAUAAACACGAUGAAGUACAACACACAACUUUAUAUAAAAGCCUGUUUUAGAAAAAAUAAUCCCAGAAUUUCCUAAUUUCUGAUAAGGAGUAUUUGACCAGGGCUUCAGGAAUGUACUCUGUUUCGGCAGCUUGGGCCAUAGGCACCAAAUGGAGGCUACUACUGGUUCCUAGCCCUUCCCCAUAUCCAUUAAUCCUCAGACUGUGUUCCUGAUAGGACACCUGGGCUGUGCAGGCAUAGCUCAGCCCACAUUUUAUCUGACUGUUAUCUCCUCCUGCCAAUGCUCCCAUUCCCUGAAAUCUCUUCAAGAAUACCUGAAGGGCAGGCUUUCUGCACAGCACCAACACUUCUGCAGGAGGUAAAUGUCAAAUCCAAAGCAAUCUACCUUUAAAGAAAUAUUUUCCUAUUUGAAACUCACCCCUCCCAUGAAGGAAAUUAAUUGCACUUGAUAAUUCUCUUAAAAUGAGUAAUGGAGUAGGUAUAGCCUUAAAAAUGUGCUGUUGGCAUUUUUGUUUGUUUUUCUAAGUGCAGUUAAUUAAAUUCUGGUGAUUCCAGUGGGCUGUCUGCAGAACAGAGAGUUAUUACUUCCCCCUGAAUGUCCCCCUGAUUUCCCAGGCAGAGUUAGGAGCUUCUUCCUUUUUCUCUGGCCACCCCCUGCAAUGCUGUGUGUUCCCUCCCAUCAUAAGAUUCAUCCUGUUAUUAUUAUUAACCUACUUCUCUGCUUCCUGUACUAAAUGUCAGUGCCUUGAGGAUAAGAACUAUGAUUUUUUUUGGUCAUUAAUCAGGUCUCACUACCUGCUAAUGGAAUCUUCCUACCUUGACUUCCCCUUGUAGUGGGUCCCUGGCAUUUUCUGAACACAGAUGGCUAUGGGCAUCCUUUGUAGACUGCCUUGGAAGCUCACCUGUGCCCAGGUAGACCAUCCCUAGUGUAGGCACAUUUUAUCCUGCCACCAGAAAUCUAGGUCAUGCCUGCUUAUCCCUUCUGGCCUGGAUAACAGUGGCCUUGACAUAUUGGAUGGAGCCCUUUGAAGAGAGGACAGUUUCCACCCAUGGCAAUGAAGGCAGAUGAGCUGAUUUUCCUUGUGAGUUCAGGCUUUUAGGUGCUGGCAUGCCCCCUUGAGAACGGGCUCAUCAGGAUUCCCCUGGAAGGACAGGUCUUGGCUAUUACCCAGCUAGUUGUUAAUGCUGGGGCUCACCUUGGGGUUAAGGAUGCCUUACUCUCAGCAGGCCUUGACAGGCUCAGCAGUAAGGCUUUCCAGGGAAAAGAUUCCAAGACCUUGGCUGUGGGCUGCUCUUGGUCAGGCUGAUUUCAGAAAGAAAUACCAUUGAGCCGAGAUGGUGAUGAAUGGCUCUUGAAAACAUAGGAAAUUGGGUUUUAUGACAGGUCAUUUAUUUUCUCUCCUCCCUC